GCUACAGGCUUAACACAUGCAAGUCGAGGGGCAGCAUGGUCUUAGCUUGCUAAGGCCGAUGGCGACCGGCGCACGGGUGAGUAACACGUAUCCAACCUGCCGUCUACUCUUGGACAGCCUUCUGAAAGGAAGAUUAAUACAAGAUGGCAUCAUGAGUCCGCAUGUUCACAUGAUUAAAGGUAUUCCGGUAGACGAUGGGGAUGCGUUCCAUUAGAUAGUAGGCGGGGUAACGGCCCACCUAGUCUUCGAUGGAUAGGGGUUCUGAGAGGAAGGUCCCCCACAUUGGAACUGAGACACGGUCCAAACUCCUACGGGAGGCAGCAGUGAGGAAUAUUGGUCAAUGGGCGAGAGCCUGAACCAGCCAAGUAGCGUGAAGGAUGACUGCCCUAUGGGUUGUAAACUUCUUUUAUAAAGGAAUAAAGUCGGGUAUGGAUACCCGUUUGCAUGUACUUUAUGAAUAAGGAUCGGCUAACUCCGUGCCAGCAGCCGCGGUAAUACGGAGGAUCCGAGCGUUAUCCGGAUUUAUUGGGUUUAAAGGGAGCGUAGAUGGAUGUUUAAGUCAGUUGUGAAAGUUUGCGGCUCAACCGUAAAAAUUGCAGUUGAUACUGGAUAUCUUGAGUGCAGUUGAGGCAGGCGGAAUUCGUGGUGUAGCGGUGAAAUGCUUAGAUAUCACGAAGAACUCCGAUUGCGAAGGCAGCCCUGCUAAGCUGCAACUGACAUUGAGGCUCGAAAGUGUGGGUAUCAAACAGGAUUAGAUACCCUGGUAGUCCACACGGUAAACGAUGAAUACUCGCUGUUUGCGAUAUACAGCAAGCGGCCAAGCGAAAGCGUUAAGUAUUCCACCUGGGGAGUACGCCGGCAACGGUGAAACUCAAAGGAAUUGACGGGGGCCCGCACAAGCGGAGGAACAUGUGGUUUAAUUCGAUGAUACGCGAGGAACCUUACCCGGGCUUAAAUUGCAGAUGAAUUACGGUGAAAGCCGUAAGCCGCAAGGCAUCUGUGAAGGUGCUGCAUGGUUGUCGUCAGCUCGUGCCGUGAGGUGUCGGCUUAAGUGCCAUAACGAGCGCAACCCUUGUUGUCAGUUACUAACAGGUUCCGCUGAGGACUCUGACAAGACUGCCAUCGUAAGAUGUGAGGAAGGUGGGGAUGACGUCAAAUCAGCACGGCCCUUACGUCCGGGGCUACACACGUGUUACAAUGGGGGGUACAGAGGGCCGCUACCACGCGAGUGGAUGCCAAUCCCCAAAACCUCUCUCAGUUCGGACUGGAGUCUGCAACCCGACUCCACGAAGCUGGAUUCGCUAGUAAUCGCGCAUCAGCCACGGCGCGGUGAAUACGUUCCCGGGCCUUGUACACACCGCCCGUCAAGCCAUGGGAGCCGGGGGUACCUGAAGUGCGUAACCGCGAGGAGCGCCCUAGGGUAAAACUGGUGACUGGGGCUAAGUCAUAAC
This 1451-nucleotide ribosomal RNA is filed under the name uncultured organism. RNAcentral describes it as "SSU rRNA". It matches the Rfam family "Bacterial small subunit ribosomal RNA". The record is from RNAcentral.